Molecule: long non-coding RNA, 865 nt
Filed under: Heterocephalus glaber (naked mole-rat)
Lineage: Eukaryota; Metazoa; Chordata; Mammalia; Rodentia; Bathyergidae
Description: lncRNA (ENSHGLG00100035286.1)
Source: RNAcentral
GAAACAAGGGCAGCUCCGUAUCCAGGCUGAGCUUGGACCUUGCACUUCCUGGGAGCCAAGGACCAAAUCCCUGCUGGGGAAGAGCGGCAGCGGGGUGCCCCCCACCCCGGGCAGCAGGGCAGGGAGCCAGAAGGAGGAGGAAGGAGCCUGGCCUCCUCCAUCACAGCCUAGGCAGAGACUGCACAGUGGAGAUGAUGAAGACGGGAGAGUCCAGACCCUGCAGGUCCUGCAGCAGCUGGCAGAUGGUGAACUGAGGCUCAAAGCCCAGAGAGGUUAAGUGAUCAGCUCAGGACGCACAGCACGAGAGAAGAAGGACCCGGCCAGGAAGGAGACGAGGCCCCUUGGGGAGCUCACUCAGAGGACACAAAGCACAGAUGUGCCCCUCGCAGCCCCCCCAGUCCCAGAGAGACUGGGUGCACAGGUAGGGGAGGUGGAUCAGCUCCACGGCUCUCUAGCAUGGUGACAGGAAAGCACGGGGCAGGCUUCUGGGGCUCAUCCUGCCUCCCACCUGCACCCCCACCCCAGAGGGACCCGGGGAGGGGGAGGCAGAUGGGGAAUCAGCUGCCACAGGGUGUGGACAGGCACCACCAGAGUCUGCCUCUUUGUAUUUAUUCAUUAUGUCAAUGCAGCUGGUUUUGAACUGGGUGAGGGGCUGGGGGUAAAGGUGAGGAUGGGAGUUGCGUGGUGCAGGUCACACAGGUGAGAGCUUCGACCUCACCCUAGGAGCUGGGGCCUCUCAGGAGGACUCAGCAGGAGGGUAAGCCGUAAGGCCUUUGGAUCUGAGGCUGGAAAAGCGAUGCUCUGUCUACUGAGUGGGAACUGACUCCAGGGACUGAGGCUGAAAGCGGCCAUCCAGGCGCCCCGG